AGCGAACGCUGGCGGCAGGCCUAACACAUGCAAGUCGAACGGAUCCUUCGGGAUUAGUGGCGGACGGGUGAGUAACACGUGGGAACGUGCCCUUUGGUUCGGAACAACUCAGGGAAACUUGAGCUAAUACCGGAUGUGCCCUUCGGGGGAAAGAUUUAUCGCCAUUGGAGCGGCCCGCGUCUGAUUAGCUAGUUGGUGAGGUAACGGCCCACCAAGGCGACGAUCAGUAGCUGGUCUGAGAGGAUGAUCAGCCACACUGGGACUGAGACACGGCCCAGACUCCUACGGGAGGCUGCAGUGGGGAAUCUUGCGCAAUGGGCGAAAGCCUGACGCAGCCAUGCCGCGUGAAUGAUGAAGGUCUUAGGAUUGUAAAAUUCUUUCAGCGGGGACGAUAAUGACGGUACCCGCAGAAGAAGCGCCGGCUAACUUCGUG
Molecule: ribosomal RNA, 433 nt
Filed under: uncultured bacterium
Lineage: Bacteria
Description: partial 16S ribosomal RNA
Rfam family: Bacterial small subunit ribosomal RNA
Source: RNAcentral